RNAcentral lists this ribosomal RNA (919 nucleotides) under uncultured Bacillota bacterium. RNAcentral's name for it is "bacterial SSU rRNA". It matches the Rfam family "Bacterial small subunit ribosomal RNA", at positions 36 to 936 of the family's 1533-position model. The record is from RNAcentral. Lineage: Bacteria; Bacillati; Bacillota.
CAUGNGGGGCCNAACAUGCAGUCGAACGCGAAAGCCUCCUUCGGGGGGCAAGUAGAGUGGCGCACGGGUGAGUAACACGUAGGUAAUCUACCUUUGGAUUGGGAAUAACCACCGGAAACGGUGGCUAAUACCGAAUAAUGCAGCGGCACCUAAUGGUGACAGUUGUUAAAGCGGGGGAUCGCAAGACCUCGCGUCUAAAGAGGAGCCUGCGGCGGAUUAGCUAGUUGGUAAGGUAACGGCUUACCAAGGCGAUGAUCCGUAGCCGGCCUGAGAGGGCGGUCGGCCACACUGACACUGACAUACGGGUCAGACUCCUACGGGAGGCAGCAGUCGGGAAUUUUGGGCAAUGGGCGAAAGCCUGACCCAGCAACGCCGCGUGAAGGAUGAAAUCCUUCGGGAUGUAAACUUCGCAAGAACGGGAAGAAUAAGUAAGAGUUAAUAUCUCUUACGAUGACGGUACUGUUUGUAAGCUCCGGCUAACUCCGUGCCAGCAGCCGCGGUAAUACGGGGGGAGCAAGCGUUGUUCGGAUUUACUGGGCGUAAAGGGCGCGUAGGCGGCCACCGCAAGUCGACUGUGAAAUCUCCGGGCUUAACCCGGAAAGGUCAGCCGAUACUGCGGGGCUAGAGUGCAGAAGGGGCAACUGGAAUUCUCGGUGUAGCGGUGAAAUGCGUAGAUAUCGAGAGGAACACCUGCGGCGAAGGCGGGUUGCUGGGCUGACACUGACGCUGAGGCGCGAAAGCUAGGGGAGCGAACGGGAUUAGAUACCCCGGUAGUCCUAGCCUUAAACGAUGAAUGCUUGGUGUCUGGGGUUAUAUAGUCCCCGGGUGCCGUCGCUAACGCUUUAAGCAUUCCGCCUGGGGAGUACGGUCGCAAGACUGAAACUCAAAGGAAUUGACGGGGACCCGCACAAGCGGUGGA